Molecule: long non-coding RNA, 581 nt
Organism: Camellia sinensis
Lineage: Eukaryota; Viridiplantae; Streptophyta; Magnoliopsida; Ericales; Theaceae
Source: RefSeq, a predicted model, not a curated record
ACAAAAAUGGUAAAUAGGGAUCUAUUGUGCUAAAUUGUGGGAGAGAGGACAGGCUGGAUCUGAAAAAAAAGAAAAGACACUCUCUCUAGUUACUCUUUAGGAUUUUGAGCACUCCUCUCCGAAGAAUUUCUUCAAAUCGACGAGACUUGAAAGAUAAUCUUUACAAUGGCAAUAGAUCGAAGUUUCCGUGAAGGUGUUUAAUCACGUAGAAGAAUACAAUUUGGAAGAGGAAAAACAGAGAGAAAAUUCAAGCUAAGAGGGUGCAUCAGAUGUAGAUCUCCGUAUCCUCCCAACAUACAAACUCCAAAUCUCUGGCUGUGAAGAAAAGCCUGAUGUUGGAAGAGAUAGAAUGGUUCUUGUUGAAACAAGUAGUGGAUACUUGACUAAUGAACGAAUUCUUUUACCUGAGGAUGCAGUCUACUGGAUUGAAGACAAAAGGUUAUUUGCUAGUUGAUGAAUGGUCGGGGGUUUAAAACUUUUAUUUUUAUUUUGAGUGUUUGUGAGGAUUCUAUUUUAUUCAUUUCCCUUGGAUCUGUAAUAUUUAAAAUGUUAUAAUAAUCUCCCAUCCUCGCUUCUUUUUA